CACGGGUGAGGAACACGUAUCCAACCUGCCGUCUACUCUUGGCCAGCCUUCUGAAAGGAAGAUUAAUCCAGGAUGGCAUCAUGAGUUCACAUGUCCGCAUGAUUAAAGGUAUUUUCCGGUAGACGAUGGGGAUGCGUUCCAUUAGAUAGUAGGCGGGGUAACGGCUCACCUAGUCAACGAUGGAUAGGGGUUCUGAGAGGAAGGUCCCCCACAUUGGAACUGAGACACGGUCCAA
This 235-nucleotide ribosomal RNA is filed under the name uncultured bacterium. RNAcentral describes it as "partial 16S ribosomal RNA". It matches the Rfam family "Bacterial small subunit ribosomal RNA", at positions 102 to 334 of the family's 1533-position model. The record is from RNAcentral.